Long non-coding RNA from Hevea brasiliensis (rubber tree), 740 nucleotides. RefSeq lists it as uncharacterized. The record is from RefSeq and is a predicted model, not a curated record. The transcript has 2 exons. NCBI's taxonomy places the organism in Eukaryota, Viridiplantae, Streptophyta, Magnoliopsida, Malpighiales, Euphorbiaceae.
CAAAAAUUUUUUGUCCACAUAAACGAGCCCAAUAGGCCCAUGACCCCUCUCCACAAGGCGCGUAUCAGAGCGGUGAAACAGUAUUUAGGGUUUCGCUGUUACCUCCAUAAAUACGGAGAGAACAUAACAACGAGAUAUGAGUUUACAGAACAGCGGUGUCUUUAGGUAAAUUGGUUACCCUCGAAUUCUCAUUAUUCUCAUCUCAUGCUGUUGUCUUUCUCUUGUUUUCUCGUUUGGCUUCUGUGGCUUCUCUGCUAAGAAGAAGAAUUGUCGUUCAAGUGAUGAGAAAAAACUGCAACAAUAUGAUGGAUUCAUUCCAUGAUUCAUGGUUUCGGAUUUUUUUGGUUUCAUUUCUAAGGGAAUCUAAUGAGCUCUGUGAUUAUAUGCCCGAUUUGGGCUAUAUACGCUAUUCUGAUUCAUAACAUGAGCAGAAAUCUGAGAAAUGAGAGCUAUUUCUUCUGCAUUUUCAGUUUUGUUUCGUUUUUUUUUUUAUGUACUGUUUACUAAUUUUAAUAUUGAAUAAUUGAAAUGUAUAUACAAGCUUCUGCAGUGAUGAAUUUAUGAAACAAUUCACAUGUCAGACUUCAGAGAUUUUUUCAAUCAGUGAGAAGAAAAUUCAUAUUUCUGAGCAGAGGUGAUAUUUUUUUUGUUUCGAAUUUUUAUUGCUUGUUGGAUGCUAAUUAAAUUAUGUAUAUUUUAUUUCUGACCGCAGAUUUAAGUACAUAGCAUUGCAGGAGAAA